GAUGAAGAACGUAGCGAAAUGCGAUACUUGGUGUGAAUUGCAGAAUCCCGCGAAUCAUCGAGUUUUUGAACGCAAGUUGCGCCCGAAGCCAUUCGGCCGAGGGCACGUCUGCCUGGGUGUCACGCAUCGUUGCCCCCCCAAACUCCGGUUCGGGCGGGGCGGAAGUUGGCCUCCCGUGCGUGCCUGCGCGCGCGGUUAGCCCAAAAGCGAGUCCUCGGCGACGAGCGCCACGACAAUCGGUGGUUUUUUUACCCUCGUUCCUCGUCGUGCGUGUCCCGUCGCCCGAACGCGCUCUUGUGACCCUCACGCGUCGCCUCGGCGGCGCUCCCAACGCGACCCCAGGUCAGGCGGGACUACCCGCUGAGUUUAAGCAUAUCAAUGAGCGGAGGA
RNAcentral lists this unclassified non-coding RNA (390 nucleotides) under soil metagenome. RNAcentral's name for it is "partial contains 5.8S ribosomal RNA, internal transcribed spacer 2, and large subunit ribosomal RNA". The stretch from base 1 to 122 matches the Rfam family "5.8S ribosomal RNA", at positions 35 to 154 of the family's 154-position model. The record is from RNAcentral.